CUGGCGGCGUGCCUAAUACAUGCAAGUCGAACGGUCUUUCUAUGGAAGCUUGCUUCCACUGAGAAGAUAGUGGCGAACGGGUGAGUAACACGUGGGUAACCUGCCCAUAAGAGGGGGGAUAACAUCCGGAAACGGGUGCUAAUACCGCAUAGUUUUCUUGAUCGCAUGAUUGAGAAAGGAAAGACGGCCUUUGUGCUGUCGCUUAUGGAUGGACCCGCGGCGUAUUAGUUAGUUGGUGAGGUAACGGCUCACCAAGACGAUGAUACGUAGCCGACCUGAGAGGGUGAUCGGCCACAUUGGGACUGAGACACGGCCCAAACUCCUACGGGAGGCAGCAGUAGGGAAUCUUCCGCAAUGGACGAAAGUCUGACGGAGCAACGCCGCGUGAGUGAAGAAGGUUUUCGGAAUCGUAAAACUCUGUUGUCAGAGAAGAACAAGUUGGAGAGUAACUGCUCCAGCCUUGACGGUAUCUGACCAGAAAGCCACGGCUAACUACGUGCCAGCAGCAGC
This 510-nucleotide ribosomal RNA is filed under the name uncultured bacterium. RNAcentral's name for it is "bacterial SSU rRNA". It matches the Rfam family "Bacterial small subunit ribosomal RNA", at positions 36 to 518 of the family's 1533-position model. The record is from RNAcentral.